Monomorium pharaonis (pharaoh ant) is the source of this 1158-nucleotide long non-coding RNA. RefSeq lists it as uncharacterized. The record is from RefSeq and is a predicted model, not a curated record. Lineage: Eukaryota; Metazoa; Arthropoda; Insecta; Hymenoptera; Formicidae. The transcript has 2 exons.
UGAUUUUUUAUUUAAUUGUCAAUUAAUCAUUGACACCAAUGUAAAAUUAAUUAAUCAGAGAAUAACAUAGCUCAUCAGAUUUUAUCAGAUUUUACACUGGUGUCGAUGAGAUAGAUGAGAUGUUGCAUGAUGUAAAAUGUGUAUUAUUGCUAUAAUUGUCAACAUUUAACCAAUACACAAUUCUUCUACAUGAUACAACAUCUCAUCUCUCAUUGACACUAAUAUAAAAUCAGAGAACUAUUUUAUUAAUUUUACAUUGUUUUAAUGUAAGUUGCUCGGAUCAGAAUUCAGCUUGUGUCAAGUGACAUGUGUAGUGGAGGUUAAAUCGUUUAUUUAUCGAAAUAGAUGAGAUGUUGCGUGAUGUAAAUUAUUGCUGUAAUUGUCAAUCAAUGAUAAUGUUGUAAGGAUAAGAAUUUUAAUAAACAUGUGGGUCGGCAGUAACUCGUUCACGCUACGCGCCAGCUUUCAUCAAGGGUGCGUUUUUAAAUUCGCAACGGAUGCACUGGAGUGUCAUCCUAUCUUUGUUCAACUUUCCGUAAGUAACAAAGAUGGAAUGACAUUCUGGUGUAUCUGGCAGCAUCCGUUGCGAAUUUAAGAACGCAUCCCAAAUGACGUGUAGUGUUAAUAAAAUAAUGUCAACUGUUUCAAAAUUGCUGUCUGUACUGAUACAUACAUUAUAGAUAGAUUUUCAGUACUGAGAGCAAUUUUGAAACAUAGUCUUUAUUGUGCUUUAAUUUAAUUUAUAAUCAUGUUAAUAGAUAAAAACUCGGGGUGACGGAGAGUAGGAGAGAGAGAGAAAGAGAAAGAGAGAGAGAGAGAGAGAGAGAGAGAGAGAGAGAGAGAGAGAAAGAGAAUUAUAUGUGUCUUUUCUGAACACAGCGCAUUAUCACCGAUAGCUCAGUGAACAGCAAUUCAUUAUUUAAUGAUUUUUCAGUGGAAACUCAGGAUGAGAGAGACAAAGAGCAGGAGAGAAAGAGAGAAGGAAUUAUAUAUGUGAUCUAAACCAGCGAAACAUGAAUGAUGACAGUAUAUUACCAUCGAUAGCUCAGUGGAGAUAUUAUUAUUUAAUGAUUCUUUAGGCAAGUCGCACAUUACGUAUCUGUAUCACAUUUUCAUGAAGUAAUUUAUAAUUAAAAAUGUAUCCUGCAAAUAUUUUAA